GUGAGCGCAGUGCGGGCGGGCGCGGUGAUACGUAGGGGGGAAGCGUGAAGGGGAGUGACUGGGCGUAAAGCGCACGAAGGCAGGUGGAUAAGUUAGGGGUGAAAGGACCGGGGUCGACCUGGGAAUUGAAUUUAAAACGGUCCAGGUAGAGGCGUGUAGAGGGGGGUAGGAUUGCAGGUGUAGCGGUGAAAUGCGAAGAGAUCUGGAGGAAUACCGGUGGCGAAGGCGGCCCCCUGGACAAAGACUGACGGUCAGGUGCGAAAGCGUGGGGAGCAAACAGGAUUAGAUACCCGAGUAGUC
RNAcentral lists this ribosomal RNA (300 nucleotides) under uncultured archaeon. Its description in RNAcentral is "bacterial SSU rRNA". It matches the Rfam family "Bacterial small subunit ribosomal RNA", at positions 496 to 795 of the family's 1533-position model. The record is from RNAcentral.